UGCUCACUUUGGCGGUAAAAUACUAAAAUUAGAAUGAUGCAAAGAAGAUUAACAUGGCCCCUGUACAACACAAAUUCUCAAAGCUUUCUAUAUUAAU
This 97-nucleotide small nuclear RNA is filed under the name Castor canadensis (American beaver). Lineage: Eukaryota; Metazoa; Chordata; Mammalia; Rodentia; Castoridae. The record is from RNAcentral.